This 102-nucleotide microRNA precursor is filed under the name Bigelowiella natans CCMP2755. RNAcentral describes it as "miRNA EPrBNAG00000013529". Lineage: Eukaryota; Cercozoa; Chlorarachniophyceae. The record is from RNAcentral.
UAGUGAUGAUGAUGAUGAUGAUGAUGAUGAUGAUGAUAACACACCAAAAAUGGUUCUUUAUUACAAGUUUAUCUCAUAUCAGCAUCCUCAUCAUCAUCUAUC